This 74-nucleotide transfer RNA is filed under the name Caldilineaceae bacterium. RNAcentral describes it as "tRNA-Ala". It matches the Rfam family "tRNA". Rfam says of the family: Transfer RNA (tRNA) molecules are approximately 80 nucleotides in length. Their secondary structure includes four short double-helical elements and three loops (D, anti-codon, and T loops). Further hydrogen bonds mediate the characteristic L-shaped molecular structure. tRNAs have two regions of fundamental functional importance: the anti-codon, which is responsible for specific mRNA codon recognition, and the 3' end, to which the tRNAs corresponding amino acid is attached (by aminoacyl-tRNA synthetases). tRNAs cope with the degeneracy of the genetic code in two manners: having more than one tRNA (with a specific anti-codon) for a particular amino acid; and 'wobble' base-pairing, i.e. permitting non-standard base-pairing at the 3rd anti-codon position. The record is from RNAcentral. Lineage: Bacteria; Bacillati; Chloroflexota; Caldilineae; Caldilineales; Caldilineaceae.
GCCCUAGUAGCUCAGUGGAUAGAGCAGUCCUUUAGCGAAGAGACAGGUCGUAGGUUCGAUUCCUACCUAGGGUA